This 1544-nucleotide ribosomal RNA is filed under the name Salmonella enterica subsp. enterica serovar Infantis. RNAcentral's name for it is "bacterial SSU rRNA". It matches the Rfam family "Bacterial small subunit ribosomal RNA". Lineage: Bacteria; Pseudomonadati; Pseudomonadota; Gammaproteobacteria; Enterobacterales; Enterobacteriaceae. The record is from RNAcentral.
AAAUUGAAGAGUUUGAUCAUGGCUCAGAUUGAACGCUGGCGGCAGGCCUAACACAUGCAAGUCGAACGGUAACAGGAAGCAGCUUGCUGCUUUGCUGACGAGUGGCGGACGGGUGAGUAAUGUCUGGGAAACUGCCUGAUGGAGGGGGAUAACUACUGGAAACGGUGGCUAAUACCGCAUAACGUCGCAAGACCAAAGAGGGGGUGACCUUCGGGCCUCUUGCCAUCAGAUGUGCCCAGAUGGGAUUAGCUAGUUGGUGAGGUAACGGCUCACCAAGGCGACGAUCCCUAGCUGGUCUGAGAGGAUGACCAGCCACACUGGAACUGAGACACGGUCCAGACUCCUACGGGAGGCAGCAGUGGGGAAUAUUGCACAAUGGGCGCAAGCCUGAUGCAGCCAUGCCGCGUGUAUGAAGAAGGCCUUCGGGUUGUAAAGUACUUUCAGCGGGGAGGAAGGUGUUGUGGUUAAUAACCGCAGCAAUUGACGUUACCCGCAGAAGAAGCACCGGCUAACUCCGUGCCAGCAGCCGCGGUAAUACGGAGGGUGCAAGCGUUAAUCGGAAUUACUGGGCGUAAAGCGCACGCAGGCGGUCUGUCAAGUCGGAUGUGAAAUCCCCGGGCUCAACCUGGGAACUGCAUUCGAAACUGGCAGGCUUGAGUCUUGUAGAGGGGGGUAGAAUUCCAGGUGUAGCGGUGAAAUGCGUAGAGAUCUGGAGGAAUACCGGUGGCGAAGGCGGCCCCCUGGACAAAGACUGACGCUCAGGUGCGAAAGCGUGGGGAGCAAACAGGAUUAGAUACCCUGGUAGUCCACGCCGUAAACGAUGUCUACUUGGAGGUUGUGCCCUUGAGGCGUGGCUUCCGGAGCUAACGCGUUAAGUAGACCGCCUGGGGAGUACGGCCGCAAGGUUAAAACUCAAAUGAAUUGACGGGGGCCCGCACAAGCGGUGGAGCAUGUGGUUUAAUUCGAUGCAACGCGAAGAACCUUACCUGGUCUUGACAUCCACAGAAGAAUCCAGAGAUGGAUUUGUGCCUUCGGGAACUGUGAGACAGGUGCUGCAUGGCUGUCGUCAGCUCGUGUUGUGAAAUGUUGGGUUAAGUCCCGCAACGAGCGCAACCCUUAUCCUUUGUUGCCAGCGGUCCGGCCGGGAACUCAAAGGAGACUGCCAGUGAUAAACUGGAGGAAGGUGGGGAUGACGUCAAGUCAUCAUGGCCCUUACGACCAGGGCUACACACGUGCUACAAUGGCGCAUACAAAGAGAAGCGACCUCGCGAGAGCAAGCGGACCUCAUAAAGUGCGUCGUAGUCCGGAUUGGAGUCUGCAACUCGACUCCAUGAAGUCGGAAUCGCUAGUAAUCGUGGAUCAGAAUGCCACGGUGAAUACGUUCCCGGGCCUUGUACACACCGCCCGUCACACCAUGGGAGUGGGUUGCAAAAGAAGUAGGUAGCUUAACCUUCGGGAGGGCGCUUACCACUUUGUGAUUCAUGACUGGGGUGAAGUCGUAACAAGGUAACCGUAGGGGAACCUGCGGUUGGAUCACCUCCUUA